Molecule: ribosomal RNA, 482 nt
Filed under: uncultured bacterium
Lineage: Bacteria
Description: partial 16S ribosomal RNA
Rfam family: Bacterial small subunit ribosomal RNA
Source: RNAcentral
AUUGAACGCUGGCGGCAUGCUUUACACAUGCAAGUCGAACGGUAACAGGUCUUCGGAUGCUGACGAGUGGCGAACGGGUGAGUAAUACAUCGGAACGUGCCUAGUAGUGGGGGAUAACUACUCGAAAGAGUAGCUAAUACCGCAUGAGAUCUACGGAUGAAAGCAGGGGACCUUCGGGCCUUGUGCUACUAGAGCGGCUGAUGGCAGAUUAGGUAGUUGGUGGGGUAAAGGCUUACCAAGCCUGCGAUCCGUAGCUGGUCUGAGAGGACGACCAGCCACACUGGGACUGAGACACGGCCCAGACUCCUACGGGAGGCAGCAGUGGGGAAUUUUGGACAAUGGGCGAAAGCCUGAUCCAGCAAUGCCGCGUGCAGGAUGAAGGCCCUCGGGUUGUAAACUGCUUUUGUACGGAACGAAAAGCCUGGGGCUAAUAUCCCCGGGUCAUGACGGUACCGUAAGAAUAAGCACCGGCUAACUACGUG